RNAcentral lists this long non-coding RNA (1806 nucleotides) under Homo sapiens (human). Its description in RNAcentral is "non-protein coding lnc-SLC2A10-3:1". Lineage: Eukaryota; Metazoa; Chordata; Mammalia; Primates; Hominidae. The record is from RNAcentral.
CCCUGGAGUCUGGAGCAGGCGGCUGGGCCCCUGUGGUGGUAUAACUGCCUGCUCUGCUCCACGAGGCUACAGAGGGCUUCAUGUGGAUGUCUGUUUCCCUUCCUCACACCCACGUGGCUGUGACUGCAAAGGAAUGGCGACUGGACAGCGUCUUGCAGCAACCAAGGCAAUCACAGUAAUUAAGCACUUGCAUUCGAUCCUCCAGCAUGGCUCUGCCAGGGAAAGUGGCCGGGAGAGGACACUUACCUCUGGGGAAAGGAGAGGAACUGAGGCUCACAGACUAAUGAAUGUGUAAGAGUCUUAGGUCUCUGCCAACCUCAGUGGUCAGAGUCCACACUACUUCCCCUUACCAGAUUACUGCCCUCUGUUAGAGUCAUUCUUCGGGGGGAGCUGCCAGGAGGCCUGUGUAUUCUCACCAGGCUUCCCUCCCUGAGAGAAGCCAAACGUAUAAACAACUCAUGAUUUGUGUGAAUUUCCCAUGAUGUACCCAAUCCAAGUUUGGCUAUACCAAAUAGAUGAAAGCAGAGACUUCUAGAAAUCCAACCCUGAGGUCAGGCGUGGUGGUUCAUGCCUGUAAUUCCCGAGGUGGGCAGAUCACUUGAGGUCAGGAGUUCGGGACCAGCCUGGCCAACAUGGUGAAACCCGUCUCUACUAAAAACACAAAAAUUAGCUGGGCAUGGUGGCAGGUGCCUGUAAUCCGAGCUACUGGGGAGGCUGUGGCAGGAGAAUCACUUAAACCCAGGAGGCGGAGGUUGCAGUGAGCCGAGAUCGCACUGCACUCCAGCCUGGGUGACAGAGCAAGACUCCAUCUCAAAAAAAUAAAUAAAUAAAAUAAAUCGAGCCCUGAAAGGCACUUGGAAACCAUUUACCCACUCUCCCCUUCUCUCCUUCCAUUCCACUCUCACUGCUGUUCCCAUCACACCAGGUACAGACGUACCCUCCCUCCGGGCCUGUGUGCUUGCCCAGCCACCCACCCAGAACGUGACUGCCCCCCUCCUGCCCUGGCUCACAUAUCACCUUCUCAGUAAGGCCUUUCUUCACCUGUCAUGUCCUGACAUACCAGGUGCUGCACUUAUUUUUGCAUUUAAUAUUUGCUUCCACCUUCUGGGAGGUCACCUUCACAGGGGCAGGGAUUUCUCUUUCCUCGACUUCCUGCAGUGUGUCAAAUGCCAGGCGCCAGGAGAUGCCCAACACAUUAGUUAAAAAAUUGAUAUCCAAGAGCCUCUCCUUUUACAGGUGAGCAAAUUAAGGACCAGCGGAGGGAAGGACUUGCCCACGUCCAUCCAACCAACUAGAGCCUAUAGUCAUUGCUUAGGGCCGUCAUGACAAAUUGCCACAAUCUUGGUGCCAUAAAUUCCUGCCAAAACAAUAGAAAUUUCUCCUCUCACAGUUCUGAAGGUCAGAAAUCCCAGAUCAAGGUAUGGGCAGGGCCACACUCCCCUGCAAGGCUCUGGGGGAGAAUUCAUUGCUUGCCUCUUCCAACGGCAGGAGAUCCCUGGCUUGUGGCUGCACCUCUGUCUGCCUCCAUCUUUACGGGGCCUUCUCUGUGUCUCUGCGUCCCUCUCCCUCCUCUUAUAAAGACAUCAGUCAUUGGAUUUAGGACCCAUCCUAUCUUCAGGGUGACUUCAUUUCAAGAUCCUUAGAUAAUUAUGCCUGCAAAGAUCCUAUUUCCAAAUAAGCUCACAUUCUGAAUUUUGGGGGACAGUAGGCACCCUCCUACAGAGGCAGAGCUGGCAAGAUUCCAGGUCUCCUCCCAACUGCAGCCCCCAUGGGGACUUCACAAGGAACUCAGCUUUCAGGGAGGGC